This 206-nucleotide ribosomal RNA is filed under the name uncultured bacterium. RNAcentral describes it as "partial 16S ribosomal RNA". It matches the Rfam family "Bacterial small subunit ribosomal RNA", at positions 568 to 774 of the family's 1533-position model. The record is from RNAcentral.
AGCGUAGACGGUGUGGCAAGUCUGAUGUGAAAGGCAUGGGCUCAACCUGUGGACUGCAUUGGAAACUGUCAUACUUGAGUGCCGGAGGGGUAAGCGGAAUUCCUAGUGUAGCGGUGAAAUGCGUAGAUAUUAGGAGGAACACCAGUGGCGAAGGCGGCUUACUGGACGGUAACUGACGUUGAGGCUCGAAAGCUGGGGAGCAAACA